RNAcentral lists this ribosomal RNA (440 nucleotides) under uncultured bacterium. RNAcentral's name for it is "partial 16S ribosomal RNA". It matches the Rfam family "Bacterial small subunit ribosomal RNA", at positions 338 to 795 of the family's 1533-position model. The record is from RNAcentral.
CCUACGGGUGGCAGCAGUGAGGAAUAUUGCUCAAUGGGGGAAACCCUGAAGCAGCAACGCCGCGUGGAGGAUGAAGGUUUUAUGAUUGUAAACUCCUUUUGUUAGAGAAGAUAAUGACGGUAUCUAACGAAUAAGCACCGGCUAACUCCGUGCCAGCAGCCGCGGUCAUACGGAGGGUGCAAGCGUUACUCGGAAUCACUGGGCGUAACGAGCGCGUAGCCGGGAUAGCAAGUCAGAUGUGAAAUCCUAUGGCUUAACCAUAGAACUGCAGUUGAAACUGUUAUUCUAGAGUAUGGGAGAGGUAGGUGGAAUUCUUGGUGUAGGGGUAAAAUCCGUAGAGAUCAAGAGGAAUACUCAUUGCGAAGGCGACCUGCUAGAACAUAACUGACGCUGAUGCGCGAAAGCGUGGGGAGCAAACAGGAUUAGAUACCCGAGUAGUC